This 631-nucleotide long non-coding RNA is filed under the name Dromaius novaehollandiae (emu). RNAcentral describes it as "lncRNA (ENSDNVG00000007453.1)". Lineage: Eukaryota; Metazoa; Chordata; Aves; Casuariiformes; Dromaiidae. The record is from RNAcentral.
CAUAAUUUAUUUAAAUACAUUCAUUUAUUUAGGAGAAAAAAAAUCACAUUUCAGUUCUAUAGACAUAAAUGCUCUUUCAUUUUCAUUAAGCCCUGUGAAUCUACAUGAAAUGUAAACAGGAAGAAGACAAGAUCUCAUGAGAAAUCAGGAGCUGAAAAGGAGCUGCAAUUCAGAUGUGGAUAUUUUCAGCAACGGCAAGGUGAAAUGUUGUGGUCUGAGUAAUGCAGACAGCUGAACAGAGGUGAUCAGAGCUGCUUGAUCCCCUAUAGACCAGUUUUCUGUAACGUUCUGAGCUUAAAUUGGAGGGAAACUUAUAGGACUGGAUGGCCUUUCUGCAUCUGGUUUCUGUUACGGAGAAGCUGACAUACACCAUUUGCUCAGACCAUCUGCAGAGAAAAAAGAGUCUAUGGAACAUAACAAAGCAAAAUUUCUGGCUGGAGUUGUUACCAAUUCAUCAUGAGAAAGAAGAAAAGGUAUUCACUCUUCCCCUGAUGCAUACAUCAUCUGUAGUUUUAUGCCCUUCUCUUGAGAAAUUUUCCAUGAUAAUGGCAUUUCUAUUUCGUUUUCCAGUCAAAUAUUGUUCCUGCCAAUUCACUGUAUUAUUUUCCUAGUUAGCUGUUUCAGGAAAGUA